Molecule: long non-coding RNA, 109 nt
Organism: Sinocyclocheilus rhinocerous
Lineage: Eukaryota; Metazoa; Chordata; Actinopteri; Cypriniformes; Cyprinidae
Exons: 3
Source: RefSeq, a predicted model, not a curated record
GAUGUCCUUGUCUGGGAAAUUUUAUGACUCUUUGUCUCCAAGCAUGGUAUUUUGCAUAUGUAAUUCGAUUGGGUGUUGAUGCACAAACUAGUAAAGAUUCUUAGAACAU